UCCAGGUCGGUUUCUAUCUAUGUACACGCCCCACCUAGUACGAAAGGAGCGGUGAAGCAAAGCCAAUACUACAAGCACGCUUUAAUAUAAAAUAACCCACUAACAUAAAAUUAACCCCCCCCCAAACCAAGAAAAGGUUAAUUAAGAACCACCUUAAUACAUC
Molecule: ribosomal RNA, 163 nt
Filed under: Sonora occipitalis (Western shovelnose snake)
Lineage: Eukaryota; Metazoa; Chordata; Lepidosauria; Squamata; Colubridae
Description: partial 16S ribosomal RNA
Source: RNAcentral